Molecule: ribosomal RNA, 510 nt
Filed under: uncultured bacterium
Lineage: Bacteria
Description: partial 16S ribosomal RNA
Rfam family: Bacterial small subunit ribosomal RNA
Source: RNAcentral
GACGAACGCUGGCGGCGUGCUUAACACAUGCAAGUCGAACGAAGAGCGAUGGAAGCUUGCUUCUAUCAAUCUUAGUGGCGAACGGGUGAGUAACGCGUAAUCAACCUGCCCUUCAGAGGGGGACAACAGUUGGAAACGACUGCUAAUACCGCAUACGAUCUAAUCUCGGCAUCGAGGAUAGAUGAAAGGUGGCCUCUACAUGUAAGCUAUCACUGAAGGAGGGGAUUGCGUCUGAUUAGCUAGUUGGAGGGGUAACGGCCCACCAAGGCGAUGAUCAGUAGCCGGUCUGAGAGGAUGAACGGCCACAUUGGGACUGAGACACGGCCCAGACUCCUACGGGAGGCAGCAGUGGGGAAUCUUCCGCAAGGGACGAAAGUCUGACGGAGAAACGCCGCGUGAGUGAUGACGGCCGUCGGGUUGUAAAGCUCUGUUAAUCGGGACGAAAGGCCUUCUUGCGAACAGUUAGAAGGAUUGACGGUACCGGAAAAGAAAGCCACGGCUAACUACGUG